GCCAAUCACAGCCCACCAUCUAGGCUUCAAGCCGUAGCCAAUCAGCGAUGUCCUUGCUGCGGUCGUGCCUUUUCUCUCAGAAGGCAUCUCGCCUCCAGCCGGGGCGAGUACCCGCCACCCGAGGUCAGACCCGGGAGGUGACCGCCAGUUUUAAAUAAUAGCAAGCUGUUAGCUGUUGAUCCGCAGAAAGCGCGAAAUGAGUGGAGGGCGCGAAUAAUGGAGCAAAGACAUAGGGGCUCCUCGGAGAUUUUGAAGCAAGUUGUGAUCGCCACGCUAAACGGGAGGUCAAAGUUGACACACGUUAGAUGAGGUAAAUGGGAGGUCAAAGUUGACACACGGUAGAUGGGCUAAACGGGAGGUCAAAGUGACACACGUUAGAUGAGCUAAGCGGGAGGUCAAAGUUGACACACGUUAGAUGGGCUAAAUGGGAGGUCAAAGUGACACACGUUAGAUGAGCUAAAUGGGAGGUCAAAGUUGACACACGUUAGAUGAGGUAAACGGGAGGUCAAAGUUGACACACGUUAGAUGGGUUAAACGGGAGGUCAAAGUUGACACACGUUAGAUGGGCUAAAUGGGAGGUCAAAGUUGACACACGGUAGAUGAGCUUAGCGAUGGCCUAGGAAGUGUUGGCUGGAGGCCGACUGGACACAGCUCCAGAGCGAGGUUGAAGACGCCGGCAGGGAUGCGAGGGAUGCGGAGGACAAGGCAAAGGUCAUCGCAGACGCGGCCGCCAUGGCCGAGGAGCUAAGAAGGAGCAGGACACCAGCGCCCACCUGGACCGGACGGUGAAGGACCUGCAGCAUCGUCUGGACGAGGCUGAGCAGCGGGCCCUGAAGGGCGGGGAGAAGCAGAUCCAGAAACUAGAGACGCGGAUCCGGGAGCUGGAGUUGGAGCUCGAAGGGGAGCAGAAGAGCACAGAGUCUGUCAAGGGCCUGAGGAAAGACGAGCGGCGGCUGAAGGCGUUAACCUACCAGAGUGGAGAGGACAGAACGUGCCCAGGUUGCAGGACCUGGUGGAUAAACUCCGAGUGAAAGUCAAGUCCUACCCGAGGCAGGCGGAGGAGGCUUGUGAACAACCCAACGCUCACCUCACCGAAUCCCCGCCCGGUAAAGCUCAGCAUGAGCCGGAAGAGGCAGAAGAAUGUGCUGAUACUGUGAUACUGCAGAAUCUCCGGUCCGUAAGCUUCGCGCCAAGACCCGCGACUUCACCUCCAGCAGGAUGGUGGUCCAUGAGAGCCAAGAGUGAGUGGUGAGCCUCUUCUGGAGCAGGACGGGAAAUAUGCAAAAUGGCUCCUUUUAUUUAGCAUCGUGUUGCAGACAUUAUGCUGUGCAUCUCCACCAUAUGCAUGUCCCCUCUCUGCAUUCCACCCCCCUCCCUCUUGCCUAAUAUAUUAGCGAGACGUCAUGAAUUCUCCUCCUUAAGUGACCCUAUUUGUGCAUCCAAGUGGUGGCAGACGCUGGACUGACACCUGCAUCAGGUAUCUAUUGGUCUAUAACUGGUUAUCACAUAUUGAAAGGAUAAACACGAUACCCGUUUAUGGUCUCGCAGUGCGGUCGGGAUGGGAUCAGAGGGACUGAGUUCUCCUACGGUCAGGUUAAAACCUAUGUAUUGGCGAUGCCAGGCGCUUGCUUAGAGGCUCUGGAGAGCAGUCUGCCUCCACCCUUAGUAAGAUCGUUGAAAAUACAGUUUUUUGUGGCUAUAAAUCCACAGUACCCAUUUUGUUUUGCCAGCUGCCUGCAGAGGCCAUUCUCCUCUCCUAGAGGCUUCUCACACAGCCCUCACCACCUUCAAGGGCAGCAGUGGAGCAGACUUCUCAUACCUACGAUCUGAUUUUCAUUCUGCCACCAGCCAGAGAAAACCCUGUGUUUAAAGGGCCCUGGGCAGCCCGGGUGGCUCAGUGAUUUAGCACCUGCCUUCAGCCCAGGGCGUGAUCCUGGAGAUCCAGGAUGGAUUCCCACUUUGGGCUCCCUGCGUGGAGCCUCCUUCUCCCUCUGCCUG
This is a long non-coding RNA of Canis lupus familiaris (dog), 1998 nucleotides long. RefSeq lists it as uncharacterized. The record is from RefSeq and is a predicted model, not a curated record. Lineage: Eukaryota; Metazoa; Chordata; Mammalia; Carnivora; Canidae. The transcript is spliced from 4 exons.